Molecule: long non-coding RNA, 404 nt
Filed under: Carica papaya (papaya)
Lineage: Eukaryota; Viridiplantae; Streptophyta; Magnoliopsida; Brassicales; Caricaceae
Description: long non-coding RNA (CPAP_LNC013177)
Source: RNAcentral
UGCUCUAUUACGUAAGAAUGAAUAAUCAAGUGUCCAAAAGCAUUAGGACUCUUAUUAUUUAUAUGAUUAAUGUGCCUUAAAAGAGAUGAGUGUGCAGUUAUGACUCUCCCAAUAAGAGUAGAUGACUCCCUCUUGUGAAAUACUUGAGAGUCCAUGAUUAGAAUGACUUUUUUGACCAUUUGCUUAUAUUCAUCUUUUCCAUGGGAUCUUAGUGUGAGUUGUCCCCCCCUUCUUUUCUCGCAUCAACCCCCAUCUUUAAAAUGAUUUUUUCUCAAAUUGGGGACAUUCUCCUGUAAUGGCUUAACUGACUUUGCUUCUUGCAAGAAAGAAACAACACACUAGAGAAAGAAAGUUUAGGAUUAGAUAGAGUCUCUUUUCUUUCUUCCACCAAGGGAAUCAUGUUC